RNAcentral lists this ribosomal RNA (201 nucleotides) under Roseibium sp. RKSG952. RNAcentral's name for it is "Bacterial large subunit ribosomal RNA". It matches the Rfam family "Bacterial large subunit ribosomal RNA", at positions 2084 to 2287 of the family's 2925-position model. The record is from Rfam by way of RNAcentral. Lineage: Bacteria; Pseudomonadati; Pseudomonadota; Alphaproteobacteria; Hyphomicrobiales; Stappiaceae.
AAAGACCCCGUGCACCUUUACUACAGCUUCACACUGGUAUUCGUAACGACAUGUGUAGGAUAGGUGGUAGACGUUGAAACCAGGGCGCCAGCCUUGGUGGAGUCACCCUUGAAAUACCACCCUUGUCCUUAUGGAUAUCUAACCGCGGCGCAACAACGUCCGGGACCGUGUGUGGCGGGUAGUUUGACUGGGGCGGUCGCC